AUUGAACGCUGGCGGCAGGCUUAACACAUGCAAGUCGAGCGGAGAGAGGUAGCUUGCUACUGAUCUUAGCGGCGGACGGGUGAGUAAUGCUUAGGAAUCUGCCUAUUAGUGGGGGACAACAUUUCGAAAGGAAUGCUAAUACCGCAUACGUCCUACGGGAGAAAGCUGGGGAUCUUCGGACCUUGCGCUAAUAGAUGAGCCUAAGUCGGAUUAGCUAGUUGGUGGGGUAAAGGCCUACCAAGGCGACGAUCUGUAGCGGGUCUGAGAGGAUGAUCCGCCACACGGGGACUGGAACACGGCCCAGACUCCUACGGGAGGAAGCAGUGGGGAAUAUUGGACAAUGGGCGCAAGCCUGAUCCAGCCAUGCCGCGUGUGUGAAGAAGGCCUUAUGGUUGUAAAGCACUUUAAGCGAGGAGGAGGCUACUUUAGAUAAUACCUAGAGAUAGUGGACGUUACUCGCAGAAUAAGCACCGGCUAACUCUGUGCCAGCCGCCGCAGUAA
This 501-nucleotide ribosomal RNA is filed under the name uncultured bacterium. RNAcentral describes it as "partial 16S ribosomal RNA". It matches the Rfam family "Bacterial small subunit ribosomal RNA", at positions 30 to 523 of the family's 1533-position model. The record is from RNAcentral.